RNAcentral lists this ribosomal RNA (253 nucleotides) under uncultured bacterium. RNAcentral describes it as "partial 16S ribosomal RNA". It matches the Rfam family "Bacterial small subunit ribosomal RNA", at positions 524 to 776 of the family's 1533-position model. The record is from RNAcentral.
UACGUAGGGUGCAAGCGUUGUCCGGAAUUAUUGGGCGUAAAGGGCUCGUAGGCGGUCCAUCGCGUCGGGAGUGAAAAGCUGGGGCUUAACCCCAGUCCUGCUUCCGAUACGGGUGGACUAGAGGUAGGUAGGGGAGAUCGGAAUUCCUGGUGUAGCGGUGAAAUGCGCAGAUAUCAGGAGGAACACCGGUGGCGAAGGCGGCAUCCUGGACCGGCAUUGACGCUGAGGAGCGAAAGCCAGGGGAGCAAACGGG